AUGACACCUUUAACUAAAAACUACAUUAGGCAGCUGUAAAUUAUUUAGAUUUUGUGUAACAACCAUGAUUUGAUCUGUGUGAUUUGUCCUCAUAUAUUUAAAUUUUUUUAAUUUUUUUUAAAAUGUUAUAAGAUUUUUUUAAAAAUAAUUACUAAUUUAAACUAAUAUAAACUACAUUAUAGUCCACUUGGGAGUUCAUAAUUAUUUUUUGGACAUUAUCGUGUAUAGGCGUUUGAUGUCCGCCCUACCUAAGGGUUAAACAAAAAGAAUACCAACCAAAUUUUGAAAUGCAACUUUUUGCAGAAUCAUAAGAAUAUUAUUGACUUUGUCAUUAUAAAACUGACCAUUUGUCACAAUUACAAAAGCCAUGGUCAUGGUUGAACAAUAGGGACUUUUUAACACCCUUAACACCGCACAGCCUUUAAACACAUCCCUUCUGUUACACAAAAUGUAAUGAAUAAGCACGAUAUCAUCUCUAUCAUAACAAUUUCAGCAAUAUUUUCAUGUAUAGCAACGAUUUUGGAGAACGCAAAUAGAGGUCGUAAAAGAUGGCCAUAAUGGUGAAGUAUAUUUGAAUCAUAUCUGUAAGAUGGCAUGGCGCCUUAGACUUGUAUUUUGGUCAACAUACAUAAGAAUGUCCACUUCGGCCUACCCUCUCUUAAAGGCAUGGAAUCAACUAAGAGAAACAGAUUCACUGAUAAAUAAACCUCAAUAAUUAUGCAUCACGAUUCAAUUACUUAAUAUAAAAAUGAAUAACGGUAUUAAACCAACACACCUUUGGCGGUUGACCGGGAUGAAACAUUUCAGGAGAAUGAUUCGAAACAAAGAAGAAGCUUUUCCCCCAUUCUGCCAGAGGGAUAGAUGGGAAGUUCUCAAAAUGCUAGGAAUAUCCUCUAUCACCAUCAUUGCCGUAGCGUUUACGUUUGGGAAGUUUAGCCCACCAACUCAAGAUGUCUUCAUUCCGGGGCCUUGCGUGAAAAAGAAGACUGUUGUUAAGCAGGAUGGGCGUGACCCAUGUCCUAGGGAAGUGCCCUGCCCUGUUCCGCAGUGCAAGAAAGCAUCAGAGGACAAAGAUGAUCGUAAAGUGUGCAGAUAUGAUUGAUUUUAUGUAAGAGAAGUGGAAUUAAACAUUUAUAUAGGCA
This is a long non-coding RNA of Plodia interpunctella (Indianmeal moth), 1142 nucleotides long. RefSeq lists it as uncharacterized. The transcript is spliced from 2 exons. The record is from RefSeq and is a predicted model, not a curated record. Lineage: Eukaryota; Metazoa; Arthropoda; Insecta; Lepidoptera; Pyralidae.